AGAGUUUGAUCAUGGCUCAGAUUGAACGCUGGUGGUAUGCUUAACACAUGCAAGUCGAACGGACGGAAGGUAGCUUGCUAUUGGAAGUUAGUGGCGGACGGGUGAGUAACGCGUAGGAAUCUGCCGUAUAGUGGGGGACAACAGUUGGAAACGGCUGCUAAUACCGCAUGACACCUUCGGGUCAAAGAUUGCCUUUGUGCAGUCGCUAUACGAUGAGCCUGCGUUGGAUUAGCUAGUUGGUAGGGUAAAGGCCUACCAAGGCUAUGAUCCAUAGCUGUUCUGAGAGGAAGAUCAGCCACACUGGGACUGAGACACGGCCCAGACUCCUACGGGAGGCAGCAGUGGGGAAUAUUGGACAAUGGAGGCAACUCUGAUCCAGCAAUACCACGUGUGUGAAGAAGGCCUUAGGGUUGUAAAGCACUUUAGUUGGGGAGGAAGGUUGUUAGGUUAAGAGCUAGACAACUGACGUACCCAAA
This 476-nucleotide ribosomal RNA is filed under the name uncultured bacterium. RNAcentral describes it as "bacterial SSU rRNA". It matches the Rfam family "Bacterial small subunit ribosomal RNA", at positions 8 to 483 of the family's 1533-position model. The record is from RNAcentral.